Carya illinoinensis is the source of this 945-nucleotide long non-coding RNA. RefSeq lists it as uncharacterized. The record is from RefSeq and is a predicted model, not a curated record. The transcript has 2 exons. Lineage: Eukaryota; Viridiplantae; Streptophyta; Magnoliopsida; Fagales; Juglandaceae.
AAAUGUUUCAUGCAAAAGGAUUUCUUGUGAACCGGGUUGCUUCUCACGUGGUCCUUAUGUUGAUUUUUUCAUUGCAUGUUAACUUUCCUGUGGGCCCUUGAGAGAUUCGGUCAAUAUGAUACAAUUGGGUCUGGUUCCUUUUUCCAUGGACAUUGUAUUGUUUGCCGUGAGUGACUAUCCCGUGGGCCCAUGAAAGACUCAGGUGUAAGAGUUGGUUCAACCAAUUUUGUUAUUAAAGAGGACUUGAUACCCGAAGAAGCUGAAGAAUCUUCUUGUAGCUGCGUCCAACGAUAAGGCCAAGUCUCUACAUGCAAUACUAAGUAAGGUGGCAGAUCCUUCAUGGGCGACUCUAUAGCAUUACUGUAGAGAUCCCUGUUUCCCAUCAGAAGAGUAGAAAUAUCUUCUUGAGUGAUUAAUUAGAAAGGGUUUGGUGGAGGAAAGUAAUUUCUCAUAUUCAAUGGGUUCGGUUGAGCAUUUAAAGCUUGAGAAAUACUGUAUGCUACAGUAGCUAAAGUCUUCCCAUCAUUUGGAUCAAUCGGUGCUUCCCUUCCUUUUCCACCGUCCACCAGCUCUUGAAGAGUGAUCAGAGAAGAACUGAGCUGUAGCUGGUAUGUGAUGUUACCGAUUCAGCGUGACUCAUUUUCCUGUCAGAGGCAUAAAUCCUCCCAUGAGAGUGCUUAUGUUUGGGUGAUCAGGUUUUCCAAAUCCAUGAUGAAGGAAGUUGAAGGUUGUAGUGAAGGCAAGGAGAAAGAUUUAAGUAAAGAAGGGAUUUUAAGUAAGUAAAUGUUGACACUCACCUGGCCACCAAAGAGCUAGCUAUCGCCCAUCAGAGAGCUUUUUGAGAGAGCAUUUCUAAUUUUCUUACAAUCCCCAAGUCUAAUCUGCAUAACUUUGUGCUUUAAUAGAAUGGAAGUUGGUCAAAUGAUAAUAUUGGCGAUUGGUUUA